AGUGGCGAACGGAUGAGUAACGCGUGAAGAACCUGCCUUUCAGUGGGGGACAACAGUUGGAAACGACUGCUAAUACCGCAUGACACUUUUUGGGGGCACCCCCGAGAAGUCAAAGCUUUAUGUGCUGAAAGAUGGCUUCGCGUCUGAUUAGCUAGAUGGCGGGGUAACGGCCCACCAUGGCGACGAUCAGUAGCCGGUCUGAGAGGAUGAACGGCCACAUUGGGACUGAGAUACGGCCCAGACUCCUACGGGAGGCAGCAGUGGGGAAUAUUGGGCAAUGGGGGAAACCCUGACCCAGCAACGCCGCGUGAAGGAAGAAGGCCUUCGGGUUGUAAACUUCUUUUACCAGGGACGAAGGACGUGACGGUACCUGGAGAAAAAGCAACGGCUAACUACGUGCCAGCAGCCGCGGUAAUACGUAGGUUGCAAGCGUUGUCCGGAUUUACUGGGUGUAAAGGGCGUGUAGGCGGAGAUGCAAGUCGGGAGUGAAAUCCAUGGGCUUAACCCAUGAACUGCUUUCGAAACUGUAUCCCUUGAGUAUCGGAGAGGCAAGCGGAAUUCCUAGUGUAGCGGUGAAAUGCGUAGAUAUUAGGAGGAACACCAGUGGCGAAGGCGGCUUGCUGGACGACAACUGACGCUGAGGCGCGAAAGCGUGGGGAGCAAACAGGAUUAGAUACCCUGGUAGUCCACGCUGUAAACGAUGAAUACUAGGUGU
Molecule: ribosomal RNA, 715 nt
Filed under: uncultured bacterium
Lineage: Bacteria
Description: bacterial SSU rRNA
Rfam family: Bacterial small subunit ribosomal RNA
Source: RNAcentral